This 1418-nucleotide long non-coding RNA is filed under the name Volvox carteri. RNAcentral's name for it is "long non-coding RNA (VCAR_LNC003805)". Lineage: Eukaryota; Viridiplantae; Chlorophyta; Chlorophyceae; Chlamydomonadales; Volvocaceae. The record is from RNAcentral.
AACUAUGAACUGAUCCAUGACCGGAUCCAUGACUUAAUGACAAAUUAUGACCGGAUCCAUGACCACAUACAUGACCAAAUCCAUGACUUAAUGGCAAAUUAUGACCGGAUCCAUGACCGCAUCCAUGACCAAAUCCAUGACUGGAAAACCCAUCCAUGACCAAGUCUUUCCCCGAGUGAUACGUAGGUGAUGCAUCACCUGGGACAGUCCCUACCUAUUAUACGAGAGUGUCGCUUAUAUAUAGGUGAUCGAAAGGUUUACUGUGUGGCACAACAAGCACAAUAUACACACUGUACUAUACACACUGUGACACAAUAUUGUCUAUAUACUGUGUGUGUAUGCUUGUAUGUGUGUGCUGGUGUGUGUGUGCUGGUGUGUGUAUGUGUGUGUAUUACCCUUGAUAUGAUAUCAUGCAUGACACUCCAUCGAUGAAGAGAAGAUGAUUAAUACGAUUAUUAGUGAGUGUGGUUCGUAAUUCUUCUUACAUGCACCAGAUAGACCGCUAGUUUGAUUAUUAAGCAUCGAUGCUACUGAUAUCAGUAGCUUUUAUUAGCGAACAUAUAUGUAUAUACGUCUGUAUAUUACACGUAAAUGAUAUAUAAUAUUAUUUUAAAAUUUUAUUAUUUAAAAUUAUAUUGCCAUGUAGCAUGGAAUGACAUCAUUUAACGAACAGCAUGAUAUAUAAUCAAUCGUUACAUUUGGAAUGACAUGUAUAAAAUCUCAGUUGUGGGUAUCAACCGUUUCCACAUUUGUAACACAACCCCUUAUACAUUAUGUGUGGGACAGGCGGGCAUAUCUACACCGGUGGUCGCUACCAGGUGAAACUCUGUCUACCCAGGUAUUUCAGGGCACCCUCAUCCAGUCACCCUAGCCGUCUUCUCAGUGAAUCACUCGGGUACAUCUCAGGAGUGCUCCCACCACCGUCAUCCAACGACAUGUACAUCUGCAAACUUAAUGGCGGCUGGAGCCCAUUCCUGGUCAGCUCUCAUGUCAACAUUAUCCCAGGCCGUUACUGUUCAUCAAAUAGCGGCACUCUUACCUUCCACCAUCGGUAAAACGUUUUACCUUGACUGGUGGCAAUCCUGGAACCUCCGGAAGCGUCAGUGUAUACACACAUGUGUUACCAAUGCUGCCUGCUAAGUUCAUGACCUAUGUAUAUAUGUAUAUGUACGACACACCAGCACUAGUAGUACUACAUGUACAGGAACUUGAUGAACAAUGCAUAACAGCCAUAAGGAUAUUCAUACCAUGUUAUGAACACAUGUGUACACAGUGGCUACUUAGCACAGCCUUUCAUAAGCCCAUGAUGCAUAGAGGGUUUAAUAAUUACGUAUGGUCUACUACACCAAUCAAACUGGCUGCCUUACAGCAGCAUGAAUUCAAGGCUUUGCAGCCAUUUGCAAUGGGCAACCAUCCAU